RNAcentral lists this ribosomal RNA (1190 nucleotides) under Phyllocoptruta murraya. Its description in RNAcentral is "SSU rRNA". It matches the Rfam family "Eukaryotic small subunit ribosomal RNA", at positions 56 to 931 of the family's 1831-position model. The record is from RNAcentral. Lineage: Eukaryota; Metazoa; Arthropoda; Arachnida; Trombidiformes; Eriophyidae.
UGUAAAGUUCAAGCUCCGAUUAUGAGGGCAAAACCGCGAAUGGCUCAUUAAAUCAGUCAUAAUCUACUUGAUUGUUUAAAGUUUAUAUGGAUAACUGUGGUAAUUCUAGAGCUAAUACAUGCACAAAAGGGGCGACUCUUUAACGAGAGAAGCUCUGCGUUUAUUAGACUAAGACCAAUGAUUGGGGCAACUCAAUCUUUUAUUAAGGUGACUCUGAGUAAAUAAUGGGCUAACACCCAUGUUGCUGACCUGACAUACCAAAAGCUCGCAAGGGCUGUCAGGCAAAUCAAUCGAGUGUCUGAUCUAUCAACUGUGGAUGGUAGGAUAAUUGCCUACCAUGGUGAUGACGGGUAACGGGGAGUUAGGGCUCGACUCCGGAGAACAAGCCUGAGAAACGGCUAGUAGGACUAAGGUCUGCAGCAGGCGCGAAACUUACACAAUGCUAGAUUACAAUUAGCGAUGUAGUGAAGAAAAAUAACGAUGUACUUAUGUUUAAACACAUUAGUACAAUUGGAAUGAGACGACUAUAAACCAGUUAGUCGAGUAACAAAUGGAGGGCAAGUCUGGUGCCAGCAGCCGCGGUAAUUCCAGCUCCAUUAGCAUACAUUAAAGUUGUUGCGGUUAAAAAGCUCGUAGUUGAAUUUUAGGUGGGCUCUAUUGGGCUGCAAUCGUUAAGGUCCACCAUAUCUUCGGAUUGGUUGUGACUGGUUGUAUUUGUCCUAUAGGAACCCACUGUUUCGUCACUUAAUCGAGUGCGAAGCGGGCUGGUACUAGGAUGCAUUCGUGUGUCUUGUAACAGCAAGUUUACCUUGAGAAAAUUAGAGUGCUCACAGCAGGCAGUUGGGGUGUAAAAGCUCCUUUAUGCUUGAAUAAUGUUGCAUGGAAUAAUAGAAUACGGCCUCGGUUCUAUUCUGUUGGUCUUAUAGAACAACAAACAAGUUGGUUGGGGCGAUCAAAAGUUUGUUUGCGAGUGUGGGCUAAGAUUGUUAGUUCAAACAGCUGAUGGAUUAUGUUACCUAGGGCCUUAAAAUCUUAGCGUCAUGUCCCUCUCAGUAUGCGUCUAACUUCUUAUUCCAUCAAAAGCACUCCUUAUAAGCUAGCCCUUCUAAUCAACUGAGGCAAUGGUUAAAAGAAAUAGUCGCGGCGGCAUCAGUACUGCAUCGUGAGAGGUGAAAUUCUUAGACCGAUGC